CAGUCGCCGCGGUAAUACGUAGGGCGCGAGCGUUGUCCGGAAUUAUUGGGCGUAAAGGGCCUGUAGGCGGCUGGUCGCGUCUGCCGUGAAAUCCCCUGGCUUAACUGGGGGCGUGCGGUGGGUACGGGCCGGCUUGAGUGCGGUAGGGGAGGCUGGAAUUCCUGGUGUAGCGGUGGAAUGCGCAGAUAUCAGGAGGAACACCGGUGGCGAAGGCGGGUCUCUGGGCCGUUACUGACGCUGAGGAUCGAAAGCGUGGGGAGCGAACAGGAUUAGAUACCCCGGUAGUCCCUGUCUCUUAUAC
RNAcentral lists this ribosomal RNA (301 nucleotides) under uncultured bacterium. RNAcentral's name for it is "partial 16S ribosomal RNA". It matches the Rfam family "Bacterial small subunit ribosomal RNA", at positions 509 to 807 of the family's 1533-position model. The record is from RNAcentral.